CCCUUAGAUGUCCGGGGCUGCACGCGCGCUACACUGAAGGAAUCAGCGUGCUAAAACCAUUGUCGAAAGGCAUUGGUAAACCCAUUAAAAUCCUACGUGAUUGGGAUCGGGAAUUGCAAUUAUUUCCCUUGAACGAGGAAUUCCCAGUAAGUGUGGGUCAUAAGCUCGCGUUGACUACGUCCCUGCCCUUUGUACACACCGCCCGUCGCUGCCCGGGACUGAGCCGUUUCGAGAAAAGCGGGGACUGCUGCUGUCGGGGCUUUCGGGCCUUGGCUUCGGUGGAAACCGCUUUAAUCGCAGUGGCUUGAACCGGGCAAAANUCGUANCA
RNAcentral lists this ribosomal RNA (328 nucleotides) under uncultured eukaryote. Its description in RNAcentral is "partial 18S ribosomal RNA". It matches the Rfam family "Eukaryotic small subunit ribosomal RNA", at positions 1470 to 1796 of the family's 1831-position model. The record is from RNAcentral.